RNAcentral lists this small nuclear RNA (106 nucleotides) under Canis lupus familiaris (dog). RNAcentral also lists the same sequence under 1 other name. Lineage: Eukaryota; Metazoa; Chordata; Mammalia; Carnivora; Canidae. The record is from RNAcentral.
GUUUUCUUUGGCAGCACAUAUACUAAAAUUGGAAUGAUAUAGAACUUAGCAUGGCCACUGCACAAGAAUGACACGCACACAAAUUCAUGAAAUGCUCCAUAUUUUU